Molecule: transfer RNA, 71 nt
Filed under: Cordylochernes scorpioides
Lineage: Eukaryota; Metazoa; Arthropoda; Arachnida; Pseudoscorpiones; Chernetidae
Description: tRNA-Gly
Source: RNAcentral
UGCAUCGGCUGGGAAUCGAACCCGGGUCGCCCGCGUGGCAGGCGAGCAUUCUACCACUGAACCACCGAUGC